UGUUGUUCUUUGGGGUGGCUCCAGGAGACAAUGCCAUCGUAUUGCCUGACGUCCUUGUUACACAUCUCUGCUGGCCCAGCUGGCUGCAAAAUUACUUCCAAGGACACCAGGGUUUUAUGAUGAUGCUCCUGGACUACCCCUCUCAUGAAUUUACUGGGCCUUGUCCUGGAAGAUCUUUGCUAAUUGAAGACUUUUAUUAGUGGCCUGUAGUAUUGCAAGGCUUGUUUAUCUCCCAUUGAAAUGGAUUCUUUCUUUUGGGUCUUAUGUCUGAGUUAAGGACAAGGAUUUGGAAGGUUCCUUCUCUGGGGCUGUUGCUGAUCCUCUACAAGUGAAAUUGUCCCAGCCUGUGCUUCCUGGAGCUUUCCUGAUCCUGAUCCUGCCCAGAGGCUUUUCCUGCUUUCACAAAACAUCAUUCAGUUCAAGGGGUUUUACUGGAAAUUUGGUGCUGAGGCAUCUCUUUUCCUUAACAGCUGUGAAGAUUCCCUACAGGGAGCCUCUCUGAACUAUGGUAGCUAUGGUCCAGAAGGAAAAAGAGCCAUUCAAGAAUAAAAUAAGGGAUGAGAUACUUCAUUCUGCUUCUGUAAAAGGUAAUGAUAAUUAUUAUGGAAAGAACUUGUACUAUACUGAAGGAGAUUAGUAUUUUUUUAAUUAAAAAAAAAAAA
Molecule: non-coding RNA, 662 nt
Organism: Taeniopygia guttata (zebra finch)
Lineage: Eukaryota; Metazoa; Chordata; Aves; Passeriformes; Estrildidae
Source: RefSeq, a predicted model, not a curated record